This 1257-nucleotide ribosomal RNA is filed under the name uncultured bacterium. RNAcentral's name for it is "bacterial SSU rRNA". It matches the Rfam family "Bacterial small subunit ribosomal RNA", at positions 29 to 1308 of the family's 1533-position model. The record is from RNAcentral.
AUAACGCUGGCGGCGUGCCUAAUACAUGCAAGUCGAGCGGUAAGGUCUCACUCUGUACUUAAAGCAUUUGAGUAUGGUGUGAGAAUACACGAGCGGCGGACGGCUGAGUAAGGCGUAGGAACAUACCCCAAAGUGAGGGAUAAGCACCAGAAAUGGUGUCUAAUACCGCAUAUGGUCUUCGGAUUAAAGCUUCGGCGCUUUGGGAAUGGCCUGCGUAUGAUUAGUUUGUUGGUGAGGUAACGGCUCACCAAGGCGACGAUCAUUAGCUGGUCUGAGAGGAUGAUCAGCCAGACUGGGACUGAGAACGGCCCAGACUCCUACGGGAGGCAGCAGUAGGGAAUUUUCCACAAUGGGCGAAAGCCUGAUGGAGCAACGCCGCGUGCAGGAUGAAUGCCUUCGGGUUGUAAACUGCUUUUAUAUGUGACGAUUAUGACGGUAGCAUAUGAAUAAGGAUCGGCUAAUUCCGUGCCAGCAGCCGCGGUCAUACGGAAGAUCCAAGCGUUAUCCGGAAUUACUGGGCGUAAAGAGUUGCGUAGGUGGCAGAGUAAGCAAAUAGUGAAAUCGUAUGGCUCAACCAUAUACCCAUUAUUUGAACUGCUCAGCUAGAGGGCGAGAGAGGUAGCUGGAAUUCCUUGUGUAGGAGUGAAAUCCGUAGAUAUAAGGAGGAACACCGAUGGCGUAGGCAGGCUACUGGCUCGUCCCUGACACUAAGGCGCGAAAGCGUGGGGAGCGACCGGGAUUAGAUACCCCGUUAGUCCACGCCGUAAACGAUGGAUGCUAGCUGUUAUGCGUAUCGACCCGUGAAGUAGCGAAGCUAACGCGCUAAGCAUCCCGCCUGUGGAGUACGAGCGCAAGCUUAAAACAUAAAGGAAUUGACGGGGACCCGCACAAGCGGUGGAGCGUGUUCUUUAAUUCGAUGGUAAGCGAAGAACCUUACCAAGGUUUGACAUCCUGGGAAGGCUUCCGAAAGGAAACUGUGCCUUCGGGAACCCAGUGACAGGUGUUGCAUGGGCCGUCUUCAGCUCGUGUUGUGAGAUGUUUGGUUAAGUCCAUCAACGAGCGCAAACCUUGUGAGUAGUUGAAUUUUUCUACUCAGACUGCCUCGGUAACGGGGAGGAAGGAGGGGAUGAUGUCAGGUCUGUAUUACCCUUACACAUUGGGCUAGAAACACGCUACAAUGGCCGGUACAACGGGCUGCCAAGUCGCGAGACGGAGCAAAUCCCAUCAAAGCCGGUCUCAGUUCGGAUAGGAGGCUGA